UCGAGGGGCAGCACGGUGUAGCGAUACACUGGUGGCGACCGGCGCACGGGUGAGUAACACGUGUGCAACCAACCCCGUACCGGGAGAUAACCCGCGGAAACGUGGACUAACAUCCCAUGAUACUCGAGAGCCGCAUGGCUCUAGAUUUAAAAUUCCGGUGGUACGGGACGGGCACGCGCGACAUUAGGUAGUUGGCGGGGUAAGGGCCCACCAAGCCGACGAUGUCUAGGGGUUCUGAGAGGAAGGUCCCCCACACUGGAACUGAGACACGGUCCAGACUCCUACGGGAGGCAGCAGUGAGGAAUAUUGGUCAAUGGGCGAGAGCCUGAACCAGCCAAGUCGCGUGAGGGACGAAUGGUCUAUGGCCUGUAAACCUCUUUUGUCAAGGAAGAAUAAAUCGCACGGGUGCGAUCUUGCCAGUACUUGACGAAUAAGCAUCGGCUAACUCCGUGCCAGCAGCCGCGGUAAUACGGGGGAUGCGAGCGUUAUCCGGAUUUAU
This 499-nucleotide ribosomal RNA is filed under the name uncultured bacterium. RNAcentral describes it as "bacterial SSU rRNA". It matches the Rfam family "Bacterial small subunit ribosomal RNA", at positions 62 to 554 of the family's 1533-position model. The record is from RNAcentral.